This 440-nucleotide ribosomal RNA is filed under the name uncultured bacterium. RNAcentral describes it as "partial 16S ribosomal RNA". It matches the Rfam family "Bacterial small subunit ribosomal RNA", at positions 338 to 795 of the family's 1533-position model. The record is from RNAcentral.
CCUACGGGAGGCAGCAGUGGGGAAUAUUGCACAAUGGGCGAAACCCUGAUGCAGCGACGCCGCGUGAGUGAAGAAGGCCUUCGGGAUGUAAAGCUCUUUCAGCAGGGAAGAAAAUUAUGGUACUUGUCUCCUUAGCUCUGGACAAUUCCGUCCCAGCAGCCGCGGUAAUACGGAGGGCGCAAGGGCUAUCCGGAUUUACUGGGUGUAAAGUGAGUGUAGGCGGCAGGGCAAGUCGGGCGUGAAAUCCCAUGGCUUAACCUGGGAACUGCAUUGGAAACUGUGAGGCUAGAGUGCAGGAGAGGUGGGUGGAAUUCCUGGUGUAGCGGUGAAAUGCGUAGAUAUUAGGAGGAACACCGGUGGCGAAGGCGGCUUACUGGACUGUAACUGACGUUGAGGCGCGAAAGCGUGGGGAGCAAACAGGAUUAGAUACCCGUGUAGUC